UGGGGAAUUUUGCACAAUGGGGGAAACCCUGAUGCAGCGACGCCGCGUGAUUUAGAAGGCCUUCGGGUUGUAAAAAUCUUUUCUAUGGGAAGAAAAUGACAGUACCAUAGGAAUAAGGACCGGCUAAUUACGUGCCAGCAGCCGCGGUAAUACGUAAGGUCCGAGCGUUGUCCGGAAUCAUUGGGCGUAAAGGGUACGUAGGCGGGUAAGCAAGUUAGAAGUGAAAUCCUAUAGCUCAACUAUAGUAAGCUUUUAAAACUGCUCAUCUUGGGGUAUGGAAGGGAAAGUGGAAUUCCUAGUGUAGCGGUGAAAUGCGCAGAUAUUAGGAGGAAUACCGGUGGGGAAGGCGACUUUCUGGCCAUAACCUGACGCUGAGGUACGAAAGCGUGGGUAGCAAACAGG
This 402-nucleotide ribosomal RNA is filed under the name bacterium. RNAcentral's name for it is "partial 16S ribosomal RNA". It matches the Rfam family "Bacterial small subunit ribosomal RNA", at positions 355 to 776 of the family's 1533-position model. The record is from RNAcentral.